GACGAACGCUGGCGGCGUGCUUAACACAUGCAAGUCGAACGGAAAGGCCCUGCUUUUGUGGGGUGCUCGAGUGGCGAACGGGUGAGUAACACGUGAGUAACCUGCCCUUGUCUUUGGGAUAACUUCAGGAAACUGGGGCUAUUACCGGAUAGGAGCUCCUGCUGCAUGGUGGGGGUUGGAAAGUUUCGGCGGUUGGGGAUGGAUUCGCGGCUUAUCAGCUUGUUAGUGGGGUAGUGGCUUACCAAGGCUUUGACGGGUAGCCGGCCUGAGAGGGUGACCGGCCACAUGGGGACUGAGAGAGGGACCAGACUCCUACGGGAGGCAGCAGUGGGGAAUAUUGCACAAUGGGCGGAAGCCUGAUGCAGCAACGCCGCGUGCGGGAUGACGGCCUUCGGGUUGUAAACCGCUGUCGCCGGUGACGAAGCGUGAGUGACGGUAAUGGGUAAAGAAGCACCGGCUAACUACGUG
RNAcentral lists this ribosomal RNA (468 nucleotides) under uncultured bacterium. RNAcentral describes it as "partial 16S ribosomal RNA". It matches the Rfam family "Bacterial small subunit ribosomal RNA", at positions 28 to 507 of the family's 1533-position model. The record is from RNAcentral.